Triplophysa rosa is the source of this 3218-nucleotide long non-coding RNA. RefSeq lists it as uncharacterized. The transcript has 2 exons. NCBI's taxonomy places the organism in Eukaryota, Metazoa, Chordata, Actinopteri, Cypriniformes, Nemacheilidae. The record is from RefSeq and is a predicted model, not a curated record.
UAGACAUGUAAAGCUGCGGAACCGCAGCAACAUUUUCUGAACCGCAGUUUCUGAACCACAGCUACAGAACGGAAGUGAUGGUGGAGUUAUUGACGACAAUGGCGAUGAAAACGUUCUUGGAGGGUGGGCAGGGGAGCACCAAUGAUCUUCUCAGCAGUCCUAACCGUCCUCUGUAGUCUUCUGAUGUCUGACUUUGUGGCUGAGCCAAACCAGACAGUGAUGGAUGUGCAGAGGGCAGACUCUAUGACAGCUGAGUAAAACUGUUUUAAUAGAGUUUGUGGUAGGUUGAACUUCUUCAGCUGAUGUAAGAAGUACAACCUUUGCUGGGCUUUUUUAGCAAUGGAGCCAAUGUGAUUGUCCCACUUCAGGUUCUGAGAGAUGGUGGUGCCCAGGAACCUGAAUGACUGUUCAUGAUGGUGAGAGGGGGGAGUGCAGGGGGGUUUCUCCUGAAGUCCACAAUCGUCUCCACUUGCCAUGUUUUAUUGUACAGAACUUUUUUUUUUUCUGUGGACGGUUCGAUUACUUUUCGGAGGACCUGUUGUAUUUGGGCAUUACCUUUAUUUUAAGAAAUAUAAGGGUAUUUUGGCGGAUUAAUCGUACAUGUGUCCUAUGGUGUGACAAAGCAAAAUUUAGAAAACAAGAUGUUAACAUUGCAUUGUUUUAAUAAUGGCUUUAUUUAUUGUAUAUAGCAUAUGGCAGAUUUAUCUUUAUAGUUAUUCGUAGUUAUUUUUAAAAAAAGCAUUUUAGUCUAUCAACUACCCAUAAAUAGUUUAUUCCACUUCAUUUGUUAUAUGCAUUGUUUGUGAGUUGAUUUUACUUAUCGUCUAAGUUUUUAAUCGGAUUUGUCACUGCUGAUAUAAUUGUGUUUUGCAUUUAUCUCUUGUAGAGACAACCAACGAUUCAGCAAGGUAAUUCUUUACCUGAGUUGCAGCAAUGUACCAACUGUCGCAGGAAUUACACUGUCCUUUUUGCUCGGCCAGUGUGUUUAAGCCAGCCAAACUGGUAAAAUUAAAAAGUCACAUUCAAAGCCAUUUCAACGAGGCAAUUGUUAAUAUUUUGUGUUAUUUGUUUAACAUGUGUCAUAUGAUUAUAUUAUAGCAUUAUGUUUUACCAUUAUACUUUAACAAACUGGGUGAAUUUGAUCAAUUGUAAUUUUUAUAAUUUGUUUUACAGUAUGUAUGUUGGAUUUAAAUGAUGUUUCGUUUAAAAGAAUGCUGCAGUUUUUUUUAACCGUAAAACAAUAAAACUAAUACAAUCAUACAAAAUGCUCUCAAGUUUGAAACAUUAUUUCUAACACCAUCAACAGGAACACAAUAAGCUAUGAAACACAUUCAUUAUACAAUAAUUCUACACAAGAUUGAUGUUUUAAACGGCUUUUUGUACCAUACCUUAAUGUAUUAUUAUAACUCACACAUGUAAGACCUGAAAAGCAGCCUUAUUUAAGAAUAUGACGUUUUCGCGUGUAACAAUAGCAAAUCACUCUCCAAGACUCUAGGUGGCGCGACUUCGUCUAAGAACGAAAGCUCCGCCCCCUCAUUCUGUGACCGCAGCUGGAUACUAUUGAAGUUAGAAGGCUUGUUCGUGUUGACCCAUACUAGCCUGCAGUGACUGGCGACAUCAGCCGGUUGCAGGCGGGGGAGGAGUAAACAGACGGCCGUCAGGUCGGACACUUCGUGCUUCCUGUAGGGAGUUGAACCUACAGCAAACCACGGAUAUUCAUUUCUUUAUCACGGAUUAAGUGAAUAUGAUAGGAAAACCUAUUUUUCAACAUAAAUGUGAUACAAAAAUCAAAUUUGUGAGUAUAAUCGUAACCGAGUGUGUCAGAAUAAACACGCAACACAUACAUGUGAACAUUCUGGCCAAUGAGAAUAAAGUGUGUCGUCAUUAAGGCUUUCUCAGCCGAUUUUGAGUGACUGCAGCGCAUGACAUAUAGGCGGCUGGUCUCGUUUUGCUCUCGCGGUACUUUAAUGGCAGAUGUGAUCUUUAAGGGGCUCUCACUAAAUCCUUAUGCUGCGUCCCAAACCGCAUACUGUCAUACUAUAUAGUAGGCAAAAAGCAGUAGGCGAAAGAGUAGUAUGUCCCAAACAUCAGUAUUCAUAAAACAGUAGGCGAGAAAUUUACGCCUGGUGCACUAUUUCUCGCGAGAUUUGGACGUGUGUAUGCUACUGUGGCGUCCAAAACCGCCUACUUACCUACUAUAUAGUAUGUGAAAACAAUAUAGUAUGUCCCAAACCUCAGUAUUCAUAAGAGAGUAGGUGAGAAAUUCCCGGAUGGCUUACUGGUUACGCCCACAUUCUGAAGCACCCAGCGACAGAUACUUGGGAUACUUCUAUAUCCCAUGAGCCCACGGGGCAGGAUAAGUUCAAACAGGAUCAUGGCGGAGAACUGCGAGGCAGGAGUUUUCUAAUGUGAGUAUUACUAGCCAACAACGCUUCUCUUGGCGUUGCAGUCGCAUUUGUUAAAGUGUUGUAGCGUGAAGUUAUCCUGUAAGAUGCUACAUAGUUUAGUACAUGUUUGAUUUUUCUGUGAAAAUGCAGUGUUUUAAUAUGUCUAGCGUAAAGGGGCGCUCCACGCACACACGCGUCUUCGAAGUAGACUUAACGUGACAAAUAUUAAAACCAUACGUAUGUUACAGACGCUUUUUAAUGUCUGUGUAACGUGACCUGUCAUUUUCUCGAUAAAGUGUUGCAAAUGAGCACAUCACAAUAUGAAAUACACAUCACAGUAAUGUAUCUUACGUCUGUUAACAUGUGGUACAAAGCAUUGUUCACUGCUUGCAUAGAUACAUGGAAGUAAUGUAACUAAACAUAAUGUAUAUUUUUUAUUUGUCCAUUAGUACUGAUGAUGAAUUCAGGAAAAUAAACAGCGAGAUAACACAUGUGCAACUACCUCCACAUUUAAAUGCAGUUUUGAGCACAAAUCACAGAGGUCACUUGAAUCUUGUUUGACUGUUACAGGGACAGAUGAGCACACUCGUUAACAUCACGGAGGUGGUGAAGGUGGUCCGCUGCGAGAUGGCAGUGGGGUGUGGGGUUCAACGCCUGUAGAUACAGGAUCAUUUGUUACAACAAUAAAUUGAAAUAAAGCUUUGAUUUAUGUGAUGUUUACUUGUAUAUGUAUGAAUAAUUAUUAAAUUCAUUUAUUUUCUUACAUCAAAUUUACGUAUUUUUUAUUCAUGUUUAUUCUAUAGUUUUCUGUAAAUAAAACAUAUUACAUUA